Molecule: ribosomal RNA, 495 nt
Filed under: uncultured bacterium
Lineage: Bacteria
Description: partial 16S ribosomal RNA
Rfam family: Bacterial small subunit ribosomal RNA
Source: RNAcentral
GACGAACGCUGGCGGCGUGCCUAAUACAUGCAAGUAGAACGCUGAAGGAGGAGCUUGCCCUUCUGGAUGAGUAGCGAACGGGUGAGUAACGAGUAGGUAACCUGACUGGUAGCGGGGGAUAACUAUUGGAAACGAUAGCUAAUACCGCAUAAGAGUAGAUGUUGCAUGACAUUUACUUAAAAGGUGCAAUUGCAUCACUACCAGAUGGACCUGCGCUGUAUUAGCUAGUUGGUGGGGUAACGGCUUACCAAGGCGACGAUAGAUAACGGACCUGAAAGGGUACUCUGCCUAGCUGGGACUGGAGGACGGCCCAGACUCCUGCGGGAGGCAGCAGUAGGGAAUCCUUGGGGAUGGCCGGAAGUGUGACCGUGCAACGCCGCGUUAAUGAAGAAGGUAUUCAGGUCGCAAAGCUCUGUUGUAAGUGAGGAUCGUAAGUGAGUGUGGAAAGUGCACACUGUGACGGUACCUAAACAGAAAGCGACGGCUAACUACGUG